RNAcentral lists this ribosomal RNA (492 nucleotides) under uncultured bacterium. Its description in RNAcentral is "partial 16S ribosomal RNA". It matches the Rfam family "Bacterial small subunit ribosomal RNA", at positions 29 to 507 of the family's 1533-position model. The record is from RNAcentral.
AGUGAACGCUGGCGGUAGGCCUAACACAUGCAAGUCGAACGGCAGCACAGUAAGAGCUUGCUCUUACGGGUGGCGAGUGGCGGACGGGUGAGGAAUACAUCGGAAUCUACUUUUUCGUGGGGGAUAACGUAGGGAAACUUACGCUAAUACCGCAUACGACCUACGGGUGAAAGCAGGGGAUCUUCGGACCUUGCGCGAUUGAAUGAGCCGAUGUCGGAUUAGCUAGUUGGCGGGGUAAAGGCCCACCAAGGCGACGAUCCGUAGCUGGUCUGAGAGGAUGAUCAGCCACACUGGAACUGAGACACGGUCCAGACUCCUACGGGAGGCAGCAGUGGGGAAUAUUGGACAAUGGGCGCAAGCCUGAUCCAGCCAUACCGCGUGGGUGAAGAAGGACUUCGGGUUGUAAAGCCCUUUUGUUGGGAAAGAAAAGCAGCAGGUUAAUACCCCGCUGUUCUGACGGUACCCAAAGAAUAAGCACCGGCUAAAUUCGUG